This 253-nucleotide ribosomal RNA is filed under the name uncultured bacterium. RNAcentral describes it as "partial 16S ribosomal RNA". It matches the Rfam family "Bacterial small subunit ribosomal RNA", at positions 524 to 776 of the family's 1533-position model. The record is from RNAcentral.
UACGUAGGUGGCAAGCGUUGUUCGGAAUUACUGGGCGUAAAGGGCUCGUAGGCGGCCAACUAAGUCAGACGUGAAAUCCCCAGGCUCAACCUGGGAACUGCGUCUGAUACUGGAUGGCUUGAAUCCGGGAGAGGGAUGCAGAAUUCCAGGUGUAGCGGUGAAAUGCGUAGAUAUCUGGAGGAAUACCGGUGGCGAAGGCGGCAUCCUGGACCGGCAUUGACGCUGAGGAGCGAAAGCCAGGGGAGCAAACGGG